RNAcentral lists this ribosomal RNA (447 nucleotides) under uncultured bacterium. RNAcentral's name for it is "bacterial SSU rRNA". It matches the Rfam family "Bacterial small subunit ribosomal RNA", at positions 331 to 794 of the family's 1533-position model. The record is from RNAcentral.
CCAGACUCCUACGGGAGGCAGCAGUGGGGAAUAUUGGGCAAUGGGCGCAAGCCUGACCCAGCAAUGCCGCGUGAAGGAAGAAGGCUUUCGGGUUGUAAACUUCUUUGACAGGGGAAGAGCAGAAGACGGUACCCUGAAAACAAGCCACGGCUAACUACGUGCCAGCAGCCGCGGUAAUACGUAGGUGGCAAGCGUUGUCCGGAUUUAUUGGGUUUAAAGGGUGCGUAGGCGGAAGGCCAAGUCAGCGGUAAACUCGGGGGGCUCAACCUCGACCCGCCGUUGAAACUGGCGUUCUUGAGUGGGCGAGAAGUAUGCGGAAUGCGUGGUGUAGCGGUGAAAUGCAUAGAUAUCGCGCAGAACUCCGAUUGCGAAGGCAGCAUACCGGCGCCCAACUGACGCUGAAGCACGAAAGCGUGGGUAUCGAACAGGAUUAGAUACCCCCGUACU